AUUGAACGCUGGCGGCAGGCUUAACACACGCAAGUCGAGCGGAGAGAGGUAGCUUGCUACUGAUCUUAGCGGCGGACGGGUGAGUAAUGCUUAGGAAUCUGCCUAUUAGUGGGGGACAACAUUUCGAAAGGAAUGCUAAUACCGCAUACGUCCUACGGGAGAAAGCAGGGGAUCUUCGGACCUUGCGCUAAUAGAUGAGCCUAAGUCGGAUUAGCUAGUUGGUGGGGUAAAGGCCUACCAAGGCGACGAUCUGUAGCGGGUCUGAGAGGAUGGUCCGCCACACUGGGACUGAGACACGGCCCAGACUCCUACGGGAGGCAGCAGUGGGGAAUAUUGGACAAUGGGCGCAAGCCUGAUCCAGCCAUGCCGCGUGUGUGAAGAAGGCCUUAUGGUUGUAAAGCACUUUAAGCGAGGAGGAGGCUACUUUAGAUAAUACCUAGAGAUAGUGGACGUUACUCGCAGAAUAAGCACCGGCUAACUCUGUGCCAGCCGCCGCGGUAA
Molecule: ribosomal RNA, 501 nt
Filed under: uncultured bacterium
Lineage: Bacteria
Description: partial 16S ribosomal RNA
Rfam family: Bacterial small subunit ribosomal RNA
Source: RNAcentral